RNAcentral lists this ribosomal RNA (448 nucleotides) under uncultured prokaryote. Its description in RNAcentral is "bacterial SSU rRNA". It matches the Rfam family "Bacterial small subunit ribosomal RNA", at positions 355 to 796 of the family's 1533-position model. The record is from RNAcentral.
UCGGGAAUCUUGCACAAUGGGCGAAAGCCUGAUGCAGCAACGCCGUGUGAGCGAGGAAGGUCUUCGGAUCGUAAAGCUCUGUUGUUGGGGACGAAGGGCGAAGGGCUAAUAGCCCCUAGCCUGACGGUACCCUUCGAGGAAGCCCCGGCUAACUACGUGCCAGCAGCCGCGGUAAUACGUAGGGGGCGAGCGUUGUCCGGAAUUAUUGGGUUUAAAGGGUACGUAGGCGGAUUGCUAAGUCUGUGGUGAAAGCUCUCGGCUCAACCGGGAAAUUGCCAUGGAUACUGGUAGUCUUGAGUACAGUUGAGGUGGGCGGAAUUCAUGGUGUAGCGGUGAAAUGCAUAGAUACCAUGAGGAACGCCGAUAGGGAAGCCAGCUCACUGGACUGUAACUGACGCUGAGGUACGAAAGCGUGGGGAGCGAACAGGAUUAGAUACCCCUGUAGUCC